Nasonia vitripennis (jewel wasp) is the source of this 690-nucleotide long non-coding RNA. RefSeq lists it as uncharacterized. The transcript has 2 exons. The record is from RefSeq and is a predicted model, not a curated record. Lineage: Eukaryota; Metazoa; Arthropoda; Insecta; Hymenoptera; Pteromalidae.
AUGCUAUGAGUGUACGUUAUAGAUGGAUAAUUGGUAGUGCAGUGUUUCUUAAUAUUACGAUGCAUGUACAGCAUAUUGAUAUAAAUGAGAAAAAGGAGAGAAGAAAAAUUAUUGAAACGUAAUUUGAUAACGACGUAUGACAUGCAGAGACAGAUGCACACGGACUUGAAAAAUUGACAAAAUUUGAAUUUCAACAUUUACAAUAACUAUACGAAUGAAAACGUGCAUAACUAACUGCUAAGAUUCAAUAUCCGCAAGAUGAUUUAGUAAACAUCGCCGAUAACCCGUUGCUCUUCUUCAGACGAAUGUGCGCAAUUACAUAAUUUAAUUUACUCCGAAUUCACCAGCGUUCUCGAAAGAGAAACAAACAUUGGGUAUAUCGCAAAGUCGGCCUAAUACACAGCGUAUAUCCGGGAAUCCCUACUUUAGACAAAAAUCAUCUAAACAAAAACUCAUCUUGUUUACAGCUACUGCCGGGCGACGAGCAAUUGGGGGAAAAUAUUAUCGUUCUGGCGUUAAUCGGUUUUUCCCUGAUCGCUUUCCUCUCGUUUUCGUCACGCAGCUCGGCUAUCAUGGCUUUUGUGGAAUGCGCCGUUUCGUCGUUGUACGCGUCUUGGAAUAUCAAGGUUGCGGCGGUGAGAAUCGAAACUCCAGCGAAGACGAUUAACAUUAUUAACUCUAAGGCGACCU